RNAcentral lists this ribosomal RNA (155 nucleotides) under uncultured bacterium. RNAcentral's name for it is "partial 16S ribosomal RNA". The record is from RNAcentral.
GCACGGAGUUAGCCGAUCCUUAUUCUACGGUACCGUCAAGCUCCUACACGUAGGAGUGUUUCUUCCCGUACAAAAGCAGUUUACAAUCCAUAGGACCGUCUUCCUGCACGCGGCAUGGCUGGUUCAGUCUUGCGACCAUUGACCAAUAUUCCUCA